CCUACGGGUGGCAGCAGUGAGGAAUAUUGGUCAAUGGGCGCGAGCCUGAACCAGCCAAGUAGCGUGAAGGAUGACUGCCCUACGGGUUGUAAACUUCUUUUAUAAAGGCAUAAAGUGAGGCACGUGUGCCUUUUUGUAUGUACUUUAUGAAUAAGGAUCGGAUAACUCCGUGCCAGCAGCCGCGGUAAUACGGAGGAUCCGAGCGUUAGACGGAUUUAUUGGGUUGAAAGGGAGCGUAGAUGGGUUGUUAAGUCAGUGGUGAAAGUUUUCGGCUCAACCGUAAAAUUGCAAUUGAUACUGGCAGCCUUGAGUACAGUUGAGGUAGGCGGAAUUCGUGGUGUAGCGGUGAAAUGCUUAGAUAUCACGAAGAACUCCGAUUGCGAAGGCAGCUUACUAAACUGCCACUGACAUUGAUGCUCGAAAGUGUGGGUAUCAAACAGGAUUAGAUACCCUAGUAGUC
Molecule: ribosomal RNA, 460 nt
Filed under: uncultured bacterium
Lineage: Bacteria
Description: partial 16S ribosomal RNA
Rfam family: Bacterial small subunit ribosomal RNA
Source: RNAcentral